Molecule: ribosomal RNA, 460 nt
Filed under: uncultured bacterium
Lineage: Bacteria
Description: partial 16S ribosomal RNA
Rfam family: Bacterial small subunit ribosomal RNA
Source: RNAcentral
CCUACGUGCGGCAGCAGUUAGGAAUAUUGGUCAAUGGGCGCGAGCCUAAACCAGCCAAGUAGCGUGAAGGAUGACUGCCCUACGGGUUGUAACCUUCUUUUAUAAAGGAAUAAAGUGAGGCACGUGUGCCUUUUCUUAUUUACUUUAUGAAUAAGGAUCGGCUAACUCCGUGCCAGCAGCCGCGGUACUACGGAGGAUCCGAGCGUUACCCGGAUGUAUUGGGUGUAAAGGGAGCGUAGAUGGGUUGUUAAGUCAGUUGUGAAUGUUUGCGGCUCAACCGUAAAAUUGCAAUUGAUACUGGCAGCCUUGAGUACAGUUGAGGUAGGCGGAAUUCGUGGUGUAGCGGUGAAAUGCGUAGAUAUCACGAAGAACUCCGAUUGCGAAGGCAGCCUACUAAACUGCCACUGACAUUGAUGCUCGAAAGUGUGGGUAUCAAACAGGAUUCGAUACCCGAGUAGUC